GCUGACACAUCCCGGCUAAGCUCCAGCAGACCCUCCCUCCCAGACCCUCCCACCUCCUGGACAGCAUCCAUGUUGAAGCUGCCAUCCAUGUUGAAGCUGCCUUCAACAUGGAUGCUGUCCAGGAGGUGGGAGGGUCUGGGAGGGAGGGUCUGCUGGAGCUUGGCUGGGAUGUGUCAG
Molecule: non-coding RNA, 177 nt
Organism: Pelobates cultripes (western spadefoot toad)
Lineage: Eukaryota; Metazoa; Chordata; Amphibia; Anura; Pelobatidae
Source: the annotation of a GenBank genome assembly